GCAAUGAAAGGCAAUGGAUUGGUCUUCUAAUUGAAUUAAUUUCAAUAGAAUUGGGCAAUAGCGAUGUGUCACAGGGUCGGCUGCUGAGUCAUUAUCACCACCUAGUUUUCAACCAUAACCUACACAGGGAGUGCAGAUGAACCACCGGCACCCCAAAAACCAAAAACAAAAAAAAAAGGAAGAAGAGGGACGAUCGAUAAUAGUGAGAUAUCCAGUCUUUCAAUCUACUAUCUAUGCUAGCCCAAAUUUAAUUAUUAAGGAACAAAAAAAAAAGAGCAAGAUCGGCGAAUUUGUUCAUGGACUGCUCAUCCAUUUAUGCCCUCACCACCCACCUCUCCCGGACCCUCUUCGGCAACCGCCCGUUUCAGCUGAAGUCCAGCUCCCAAACGAGGACCUCGAUUCACUCAUCUCCGUCACCACUGAUCACGACCUCCAGAAUAUGCUGGAAGAGCACGACUGCAUCUCCGCCGUUACAUCCCCUACACCAUCCUGCAUCAGAUUAUUUCUCUUCCCCAUAAAGCCAGAGUCUCCGAGUUCAGCGCUUCUUGAUCCGAAAGUUGACUCGUGGUUUUCUGAUGCUCUGAAUAACACGAAGAUUGUUUAGAGGGGUCAGUCUGCUGAUGCUGCUGGUUUGGGUCAGGGACUAAUGGGUUUGGAUAUUUUGGGUAGAUCGGAUUGUAAUGCAGCCUUGGAGAAUCCAGCUGAAAGCAUGAGUAAUAAUGGUGCUGAGGCUAAGGAAAUCAGUGGGGCUGUGCCGGAAUCGUUGGUAUUAGAGAGUAGCUCGUCCUUUGGGUCAACUACUUCUUCAAUUUCAAUGUCAAAUGAAGGCCAGCUGUUGGAUCCAUUGUGAGGAUGGGAGCUUCAGUUUGUUCGAGAGGAAGCUCAGAGUACCCUCCUAAGCUUUUUGUUUUUCAAGAGUGGGACCAAAGCUGAGGCUCUAUUAUUCUUUCCACUGACUGAACUCUCGGAUAUUUAUAACGCUUAAGGCAACAGAACAGCGUACACAGACCAAACGGAGCCGUCAAAGAUAACUUUCCCAGGUGAGCAGCAGACUCAACCUCCGGCCAUUGGCCUGAGGCCUCAAUCAUCGCACGGAGCAAUUUCCAACUGCAUGGCGAAAAAGAGAGCAGACCCUUCUCUUGGUAAAAUGCUUUGACUUUUAAGGUUUGUUAUGUAUUUCAAUUUUUCUGCUAAUAAGUUAAAUAGUACUGUAAUACUCCCUCCCUUUUUUUAAAACUGACGUUUAAGGUUUUACACACCAAUUAAGAAAAGUUUUUCAUUGC
This is a non-coding RNA of Coffea arabica (coffee), 1283 nucleotides long. NCBI's taxonomy places the organism in Eukaryota, Viridiplantae, Streptophyta, Magnoliopsida, Gentianales, Rubiaceae. The record is from RefSeq and is a predicted model, not a curated record.